This 324-nucleotide ribosomal RNA is filed under the name uncultured bacterium. Its description in RNAcentral is "bacterial SSU rRNA". It matches the Rfam family "Bacterial small subunit ribosomal RNA", at positions 30 to 355 of the family's 1533-position model. The record is from RNAcentral.
AUUGAACGCUGGCGGCGUGCCUAACACAUGCAAGUCGAGCGGUAACAGGUGUAGCAAUACAUGCUGACGAGCGGCGAACGGGUGAGUAAUGCUUCGGAAUCUACCCAAUGGUGGGAAUAACCAGCCGAAAGGUUGGCUAAUACCGCAUACGUCCCACGGGAGAAAGCAGGGGAUCGCAAGACCUUGCGCCAAUGGAUGAGCCGAAGUCGGAUUAGCUAGUUGGAGGGUAACGGCCUACCAAGGCGACGAUCCGUAGCUGGUCUGAGAGGACGACCAGCCACACUGGGACUGAGACACGGCCCAGACUCCUACGGGAGCAGCAGU